RNAcentral lists this ribosomal RNA (444 nucleotides) under uncultured bacterium. RNAcentral describes it as "bacterial SSU rRNA". It matches the Rfam family "Bacterial small subunit ribosomal RNA", at positions 330 to 792 of the family's 1533-position model. The record is from RNAcentral.
CCCAGACUCCUACGGGAGGCAGCAGUGGGGGAUAUUGCACAAUGGGGGAAACCCUGAUGCAGCGACGCCGCGUGGGUGAAGAAGCGCCUCGGCGCGUAAAGCCCUGUCAGCAGGGAAGAAAAUGACGGUACCUGAGUAAGAAGCCCCGGCUAACUACGUGCCAGCAGCCGCGGUAAUACGUAGGGAGCAAGCGUUGUCCGGAAUUACUGGGUGUAAAGGGAGCGUAGGCGGGAUAGUAAGUUGAUUGUUAAAACUAUCGGCUCAACUGGUAGAUGCGAUCAAAACUGCAAUUCUUGAGUGAAGUAGAGGCAGGCGGAAUUCCUAGUGUAGCGGUGAAAUGCGUAGAUAUUAGGAGGAACACCAGUGGCGAAGGCGGCCUGCUGGGCUUUAACUGACGCUGAGGCUCGAAAGUGUGGGUAGCAAACAGGAUUAGAUACCCUGGUA